GUACACUCCUGCGGGAGGCAGCAGUGGGGAAUUUUGGACAAUGGGCGAAAGCCUGAUCCAGCAAUGCCGCGUGAGUGAAGAAGGCCUUCGGGUUGUAAAGCUCUUUUGUCAGGGAAGAAACGGUGAAAGCUAAUAUCUUUUGCUAAUGACGGUACCUGAAGAAUAAGCACCGGCUAACUACGUGCCAGCAGCCGCGGUAAUACGUAGGGUGCAAGCGUUAAUCGGAAUUACUGGGCGUAAAGCGUGCGCAGGCGGUUUUGUAAGUCUGAUGUGAAAUCCCCGGGCUCAACCUGGGAAUUGCAUUGGAGACUGCAAGGCUAGAAUCUGGCAGAGGGGGGUAGAAUUCCACGUGUAGCAGUGAAAUGCGUAGAUAUGUGGAGGAACACCGAUGGCGAAGGCAGCCCCCUGGGUCAAGAUUGACGCUCAUGCACGAAAGCGUGGGGAGCAAACAGGAUUAGAAACCCCUGUAGUCCCA
RNAcentral lists this ribosomal RNA (475 nucleotides) under uncultured organism. RNAcentral's name for it is "partial 16S ribosomal RNA". It matches the Rfam family "Bacterial small subunit ribosomal RNA", at positions 331 to 797 of the family's 1533-position model. The record is from RNAcentral.